GUAGUCCUUACUAUAAACUAUGUAUACUUGGUGUAACUGGACUCAACCCUAGUUGUGCCGUAGCUAACGCGAUAAGUAUACCGCCUGGGGAGUACGCUCGCAAGGGUGAAACUCAAAAGAAUUGACGGGGACCCGCACAAGCAGUGGAGCAUGUGGUUUAAUUCGAUGCAACGCGAAGAACCUUACCCAGGCUUGACAUGCAGUAGACAGUCCAAGAAAUUGGAUCUUCCUUCGGGACUGCUGCACAGGUGCUGCAUGGCUGUCGUCAGCUCGUGCCGUGAGGUGUUUGGUUAAGUCCAGCAACGAGCGCAACCCUUAUCAUUAGUUGCCAACACGUAAUGGUGGGAACUCUAGUGAGACUGCCUGGGUUAACCAGGA
Molecule: ribosomal RNA, 378 nt
Filed under: uncultured bacterium
Lineage: Bacteria
Description: bacterial SSU rRNA
Rfam family: Bacterial small subunit ribosomal RNA
Source: RNAcentral